This 164-nucleotide ribosomal RNA is filed under the name uncultured Pseudomonadota bacterium. RNAcentral's name for it is "uncultured proteobacterium partial 16S ribosomal RNA". It matches the Rfam family "Bacterial small subunit ribosomal RNA", at positions 355 to 508 of the family's 1533-position model. The record is from RNAcentral. Lineage: Bacteria; Pseudomonadati; Pseudomonadota.
UGGGGAAUAUUGGACAAUGGGCGGCAAGCCUGAUCCAGCCAUGCCGCGUGUGUGAAGAAGGCCUUCGGGUUGUAAAGCACUUUCAUUAGUGAAGAAAGGGGUAUGGGUGAAUAAUUGGACGUUUUGACGUUAGCCCUCAGAAGAAGCACCGGCUAACUCCGUGC